AAAUGGGGUAAAAAAUGAAUUUUUUAUUUUGUUCAAGUGCUCAAUAUUCAACCAACCCAUUUUUUUUAAUAUUUAAUCAGCUUACUCUCAAUAAACCGUGUUUAGGUUCUCGUUUGGGGAGAUCUUGGAACGUGCCUGUUGUGUGAAUGCGCAUACAAAUAGGGUCACUAUUCACCGACUACUAAUAAGGUAAGGGCAGAUAGUGGAUUUUAGAUUGUAUCAGUCGGGUAGGCGGGUUCUGGGAAAAUCUCUACGAAUUCUUCUUUGCAAGAGACAUCCUUGGGUUUAGUGAAACAUCAAUUCAUUCCCUCAUUUUUAUUCUCACCUCUUUUGUGAAAAUGAUGUUUUCAUUCCUCAUUCCUAAAUUUUUGGACCACACCCAAAAUUCAUCUCCAUUAUUUUAAUUUUUAGCAAGGAAGCAAUAUCAAUAAGGAAUGUGAAUCAUUCUUAUUUCCUAAUUUAAGAAGUAAACACACCAUUUUAGUUAGAUUCGGUUUGACAUUGUGACAUUGUGGCUUUAAAACCACAAUCCUGUUUGGUAUGACUUGUGUAAUGGCCAUAAGUGCGUAUAUAAUUUUAUAAGAUCUUUUCAAAAAUUUUGGUAAUGUUUCAUUAUAUUUUGAGUAGAGCUUUGGAGAAUUUAAUAAGCUAUAUUGCUCUAUUAAUGAGAGCUAAAUUUUUGGGUUCUUGGGAAUAGAAGUUGUAGUUGUAGAGCUUUUUAAAGAGGUAAAUUAUCUAUAGUAUCUUUAAUUUGUUUCACAGUCUUAAUUC
RNAcentral lists this long non-coding RNA (771 nucleotides) under Citrus x clementina. Its description in RNAcentral is "Citrus clementina (C. clementina) long non-coding RNA (CCLE_LNC000740)". Lineage: Eukaryota; Viridiplantae; Streptophyta; Magnoliopsida; Sapindales; Rutaceae. The record is from RNAcentral.